UACGGGGGGAGCAAGCGUUGUUCGGAUUUACUGGGCGUAAAGGGCGCGUAGGCGGUCGUGACAAGUCACUUGUGAAAUCUCCGGGCUUAACUCGGAACGGUCAAGUGAUACUGUCGGACUAGAGUACAGAAGGGGCAACUGGAAUUCUCGGUGUAGCGGUGAAAUGCGUAGAUAUCAGGAGGAACACCGAUGGCGAAGGCAGGUCUCUGGGCUGACACUGACGCUCAUGCACGAAAGCGUGGGGAGCAAACAGG
This 254-nucleotide ribosomal RNA is filed under the name uncultured bacterium. Its description in RNAcentral is "partial 16S ribosomal RNA". It matches the Rfam family "Bacterial small subunit ribosomal RNA", at positions 524 to 776 of the family's 1533-position model. The record is from RNAcentral.